RNAcentral lists this ribosomal RNA (89 nucleotides) under Fusarium graminearum. Its description in RNAcentral is "partial 28S ribosomal RNA". Lineage: Eukaryota; Fungi; Ascomycota; Sordariomycetes; Hypocreales; Nectriaceae. The record is from RNAcentral.
UUGACCUCGGAUCAGGUAGGAAUACCCGCUGAACUUAAGCAUAUCAAAAGGCGGAGGAAAUAAGCGGAGGAACGUAACCUUGCGAACCC